CCUACGGGGUGCUGCAGUGAGGAAUAUUGGUCAAUGGGCGGGAGCCUGAACCAGCCAAGCCGCGUGAGGGAAGAAGGUACAGCGUAUCGUAAACCUCUUUUGUCAGGGAACAAAGGCGGGGACUAGUCCCCGGAUGAGGGUACCUGAAGAAAAAGCAUCGGCUAACUCCGUGCCAGCAGCCGCGGUAAUACGGAGGAUGCGAGCGUUAUCCGGAUUUAUUGGGUUUAAGGGGUGCGCAGGCGGCCUGUUAAGUCAGCGGUAAAAGCCCGGGGCUCAACCCCGGCGAGCCGUUGAAACUGGGGUGCUGGAGUUGGAGAGAAGUAAGCGGAAUGCGUGGUGUAGCGGUGAAAUGCUUAGAUAUCGCGCAGAACCCCGAUUGCGAAGGCAGCGUACCGG
This 396-nucleotide ribosomal RNA is filed under the name uncultured bacterium. RNAcentral's name for it is "partial 16S ribosomal RNA". It matches the Rfam family "Bacterial small subunit ribosomal RNA", at positions 338 to 732 of the family's 1533-position model. The record is from RNAcentral.